This is a long non-coding RNA of Canis lupus familiaris (dog), 693 nucleotides long. RefSeq lists it as uncharacterized. Lineage: Eukaryota; Metazoa; Chordata; Mammalia; Carnivora; Canidae. The transcript is spliced from 2 exons. The record is from RefSeq and is a predicted model, not a curated record.
UUAAGUUAUCUCUACACUCAACAUGGGACUCAAGCUUACCACCCUGAGAGCAAGAAUCAUACACUCCACCAUCCAAGCCAGCCGGGUGCUGCCAUUGAGAGCUUCGUGUCUUCUCUUGUCUUGUUAUAUUCUCUAGGUUCCUGUGAAAACUUUCAGAAUUAACUGAUGUAACAAGAUAAUGACAUUAGCUCAAAUGGUUUCUGUUUCCUCUUUACCGUGCUUCGCAAGGAGAAUUUUAUUUUUCCGUACUGCGUGAGCAAAGUUUGAGAAUCUGGGAAGAUAGCCAAGAAACAUCGCCCUCUGAAAAAACAAAGGCUGUGAGAAUAAGAAGAAUGGCAUUAACUGACCCUGUGGAAAUAACACAUUUAAGUGAUGAUGGGAUGCCACAUUGCAGCUGGUCGUGUCUAUCUUAGACUCCUCUUGGCUGUAUCAGUGUCUCCGACUUUCCUUGUUUUUGAUGGCCUUGACAGUUUGGAGGAGUACCAGUCGAGUAUUUUGAAGAAUGCCUCUGAGUUGGGAUCCAUCUGAUCUUUUCUCUGUGAUUAGACUGGGGUUAAACGUUUUGGGGAAAGGCCAUGGAGGAAGAGUGCCAUUUUCAUCACAUCAGACCAACAGUCGCCCUAUCGACACGACUUAUCACCGUUGAUGGAUGUCAGGUUUCUCUACUGCAAAUAAAGAGAAUUUUUAAACUGC